This 87-nucleotide transfer RNA is filed under the name Patescibacteria group bacterium. RNAcentral's name for it is "tRNA-Leu". It matches the Rfam family "tRNA". From Rfam's summary of the family: Transfer RNA (tRNA) molecules are approximately 80 nucleotides in length. The record is from RNAcentral.
GGGCGAGUGGUGGAAUGGCAGACACGAGGGACUUAAAAUCCCUUGUCCAUUAAGGACGUGAGGGUUCGACUCCCUCCUCGCCCACCA